AUUCCAGCUCCAAUAGCGUACAUUAAAGUUGUUGCAGUUAAAAAGCUCGUAGUUGAAUUUCUGGUCGUGAAAAGUGGUCCGUUCCGCAAGGAAUGUGUACUGUCUAUUCAUGUCCAUCCUCGGAGUUAGUGUGUAUUACUUUAAUCGGUCGUGCAUGCAAUACUUCGUCAUUUACUGUGAGCAAAAUAGAGUGUUCAAAGCAGGCUUAUGCCGUUGAAUAUAUUAGCAUGGAAUAAUAAGAUAUGACUUUGGUCUAUUUUGUUGGUUUGCACUCCAAAGUAAUGAUUAAUAGGGAUAGUUGGGGGUAUUCGUAUUCAAUUGUCAGAGGUGAAAUUCUUGGAUUUAUGGAAGACGAACUACUGCGAAAGCAUUUACCAAGGAUGUUUUCAUUA
This 392-nucleotide ribosomal RNA is filed under the name Chrysophyceae sp. RNAcentral's name for it is "partial small subunit ribosomal RNA". It matches the Rfam family "Eukaryotic small subunit ribosomal RNA", at positions 582 to 975 of the family's 1831-position model. Lineage: Eukaryota; Chrysophyceae. The record is from RNAcentral.